GCUUGUAAAUUUUAUCAACUGGUAUAAAUAUAAUCAGUUGUCCAACUUUUGAAGUUAAUAAAAAGUUACUUUUGUUUUUAUGUAUUUUUUUUAUUUUUCAUUCCUGUGGCUAAAUUUAAUCAUCUUUUCGCAUCUGUGGUUAAUCUUAUCAUUCUGCACUGUUUAGCAUAGCCAUUGGGGAUGCUUUAGCUUAAGCUUCCGUUUACUUUGUUUACCUUUUAGAUCUAGGGUGACUCCAAGACCCAAGGGUCUUUUGCCC
RNAcentral lists this long non-coding RNA (259 nucleotides) under Elaeis guineensis (African oil palm). Its description in RNAcentral is "long non-coding RNA (EGUI_LNC029674)". Lineage: Eukaryota; Viridiplantae; Streptophyta; Magnoliopsida; Arecales; Arecaceae. The record is from RNAcentral.